RNAcentral lists this ribosomal RNA (253 nucleotides) under uncultured bacterium. Its description in RNAcentral is "partial 16S ribosomal RNA". It matches the Rfam family "Bacterial small subunit ribosomal RNA", at positions 524 to 776 of the family's 1533-position model. The record is from RNAcentral.
UACAGAGGGUGCAAGCGUUAAUCGGAAUUACUGGGCGUAAAGCGUGCGUAGACGGUUAUGUAAGUCGGGUGUGAAAGCCCCGGGCUCAACCUGGGAAUUGCAUUCGAGACUGUGUAGCUAGGGUACGGAAGAGGGGAGCGGAAUUUCAGGUGUAGCGGUGAAAUGCGUAGAUAUCUGAAGGAACACCAGUGGCGAAAGCGGCUUCCUGGUCCAGUACCGACGUUCAGGCACGAAAGCGUGGGGAGCAAACAGG